UGUGUGUGUGUUUGUGUGUUAGUGUAUGUGUUUGUGUGUGUGUGUAUGUGUGUGUUUGUUUGUGUGUGUGUGUAUGUGUGUGUUAGUGUUUGUGUGUUAGUGUAUGUGUGUGUUAGUGUUUGUGUGUUAGUGUAUGUGUGUGUUAGUGUAUGUAUGUGUGUGUUUGUGUGUGUUAGUGUGUAUGUGUUUGUGUGUUAGUGU
Molecule: non-coding RNA, 201 nt
Organism: Pelobates cultripes (western spadefoot toad)
Lineage: Eukaryota; Metazoa; Chordata; Amphibia; Anura; Pelobatidae
Source: the annotation of a GenBank genome assembly